This 253-nucleotide ribosomal RNA is filed under the name uncultured bacterium. RNAcentral's name for it is "partial 16S ribosomal RNA". It matches the Rfam family "Bacterial small subunit ribosomal RNA", at positions 524 to 776 of the family's 1533-position model. The record is from RNAcentral.
UACAGAGGUGGCAAGCGUUGUCCGGAAUCAUUGGGCGUAAAGAGCGUGUAGGCGGCCCGAUAAGUCCGCCGUGAAAGUCCAGGGCUCAACCCUGGAAUGCCGGUGGAAACUGUCGGGCUGGAGUCCGGAAGAGGCGAGUGGAAUUCCUGGUGUAGCGGUGAAAUGCGCAGAUAUCAGGAGGAACACCAAUGGCGAAGGCAGCUCGCUGGGACGGUACUGACGCUGAGACGCGAAAGCGUGGGGAGCAAACAGG